RNAcentral lists this ribosomal RNA (1004 nucleotides) under uncultured bacterium. RNAcentral's name for it is "bacterial SSU rRNA". It matches the Rfam family "Bacterial small subunit ribosomal RNA", at positions 8 to 1011 of the family's 1533-position model. The record is from RNAcentral.
AGAGUUUGAUCCUGGCUCAGAGCGAACGCUGGCGGCGUGCUUAACACAUGCAAGUCGAACGCGCAGCAUUCUGUAGCAAUACAGGGUGUGGGCGCGUGGCGAACGGGUGCGUAACACGUGGAUAACCUUCCUUGAGGUGGGGAAUAACCCAGUGAAAAUUGGGCUAAUACCGCAUAACAUCGCGAUGGCACAUGCUGAUGCGAUCAAAGGCGCAAGUCGCCACAAGAGGGAUCCGCGGCCGAUUAGCUAGUUGGCGAGGUAAUGGCUCACCAAGGCAAUGAUCGGUAGCCGGACUGAGAGGUUGGCCGGCCACACUGGAACUGAGACACGGUCCAGACUCCUACGGGAGGCAGCAGUGGGGAAUCUUGCACAAUGGACGAAAGUCUGAUGCAGCAACGCCGCGUGGGGGAUGAAGCUUCUCGGAGUGUAAACCCCUUUCGACCCGGAAGAAUGCCCGCAAGGGUAUGACGGUACGGGUAUAAGAAGCCCCGGCUAACUACGUGCCAGCAGCCGCGGUAAUACGUAGGGGGCCAGCGUUGCUCGGAAUUACUGGGCGUAAAGGGUCCGUAGGCGGUGUAGCAAGUCGAUAGUGAAAUCUCUGCGCUUAACGCAGAGGCUGCUAACGAAACUGCUGUGCUAGAGUGUGAGAGAGGCGAGUGGAAUUACGGGUGUAGCGGUGAAAUGCGUAGAUAUCCGUAGGAACAUCCGAGGCGAAGGCGGCUCGCUGGAUCACAACUGACGCUGAGGGACGAAAGCUAGGGGAGCAAACAGGAUUAGAUACCCUGGUAGUCCUAGCCCUAAACCAUCACGACUUGGGGUUUGCCCUGUACGGGGCAAGUCCCGUAGCUAACGCGUUAAGUCCUGCGCCUGGGGAGUACGGUCGCAAGGCUGAACUCAAAGGAAUUGACGGGGGCCCGCACAAGCGGUGGAACAUGUGGUUCAAUUCGACGCACGCGAAGAACCUUACCUGGGCUUGACCGCACAGGACAGCUCCAGAAGUGGGG